GGAUUGUGGCUCAGUGGAAGAGCGCUCGCCCAGCACGGGCGUGACCUGGGUUCAAUUCUCAGCACCA
Molecule: transfer RNA, 67 nt
Filed under: Marmota monax (woodchuck)
Lineage: Eukaryota; Metazoa; Chordata; Mammalia; Rodentia; Sciuridae
Description: tRNA.Ala
Source: RNAcentral